RNAcentral lists this non-coding RNA (30 nucleotides) under Mus musculus (house mouse). The record is from RNAcentral. Lineage: Eukaryota; Metazoa; Chordata; Mammalia; Rodentia; Muridae.
UGGGUAAGUCAGACACCCACUUGCCUGGAA